UGGGGAAUUUUGGACAAUGGGCGCAAGCCUGAUCCAGCCAUGCCGCGUGCGGGAAGAAGGCCUUCGGGUUGUAAACCGCUUUUGUCAGGGAAGAAAUCUUCUGAGUUAAUACCUCGGGAGGAUGACGGUACCUGAAGAAUAAGCACCGGCUAACUACGUGCCAGCAGCCGCGGUAAUACGUAGGGUGCAAGCGUUAAUCGGAAUUACUGGGCGUAAAGCGUGCGCAGGCGGUUUUGUAAGACAGAGGUGAAAUCCCCGGGCUCAACCUGGGAACUGCCUUUGUGACUGCAAGGCUUGAGUGCGGCAGAGGGGGGAUGGAAUUCCGCGUGUAGCAGUGAAAUGCGUAGAUAUGCGGAGGAACACCGAUGGCGAAGGCAAUCCCCUGGGCCUGCACUGGCGCUCAUGCACGAAAGCGUGGGGAGCAAACAGGAUUAGAUACCCUGGUAGUCCACGCCCUAAAACGAUGUCAAACUGGUUGUUGGGAAGGUUCCUUCUCAGUAACGUAGCUAACGCGUGAAGUUGGACCGCCU
RNAcentral lists this ribosomal RNA (530 nucleotides) under uncultured bacterium. RNAcentral describes it as "partial 16S ribosomal RNA". It matches the Rfam family "Bacterial small subunit ribosomal RNA", at positions 355 to 874 of the family's 1533-position model. The record is from RNAcentral.